Molecule: long non-coding RNA, 399 nt
Organism: Neopelma chrysocephalum (saffron-crested tyrant-manakin)
Lineage: Eukaryota; Metazoa; Chordata; Aves; Passeriformes; Pipridae
Exons: 2
Source: RefSeq, a predicted model, not a curated record
GUGCUCCCAAGAUCCAGGAGAGCACUGGAAGAGGUUUCUGUCGAGGAACACACUGUUUGACUGUGAUAAUGGCAAGCAUGUUGGGUGGGCUGCUUGCCAUCAUGUCAUGCUGUGCUGGAAUCUGGUACUGGAGGGUGAGAAAAAGGCUCCUCUCUGCUCCUGCUCCAGCCCAGCCAAACACCUCGGGCAAGAAGAGCCGGACCUCUCACCCUCACUCUUUGUACCCCUGCCCAGCUGCGUUGCCGCGGCUGCAGCACCUGCUUUUUGAUGUCAAGGUCCAGCUGCCACCAAAACGAUCCUCUCUGCCUGUAAACCCACUGAUCGCACCCUAUGAUGAGGACUGAAGUUGGUCCUUUCCUGCCCACCCCUUUAGUUCAAAUAAAGAUAGAUUCAGCAUCA